UCAGAGUUAUCCUGGCUCAGGAUGAACGCUAGCUACAGGCUUAACACAUGCAAGUCGAGGGGCAGCAUGAACUUAGCUUGCUAAGUUUGAUGGCGACCGGCGCACGGGUGAGUAACACGUAUCCAACCUGCCGAUGACUCGGGGAUAGCCUUUCGAAAGAAAGAUUAAUACCCGAUGGCAUAGUUCUUCCGCAUGGUGGAACUAUUAAAGAAUUUCGGUCAUCGAUGGGGAUGCGUUCCAUUAGGUUGUUGGG
This 253-nucleotide ribosomal RNA is filed under the name uncultured bacterium. Its description in RNAcentral is "partial 16S ribosomal RNA". It matches the Rfam family "Bacterial small subunit ribosomal RNA", at positions 1 to 253 of the family's 1533-position model. The record is from RNAcentral.